GUUUGCUUCAGCUGCGCAUAUACUAAAAUUGGAAUGAUACAGAGAUUUGUAUAGCCCCUAUGUAAGGAUGGCACACAAAUUCAUGAAGUAGCUCCUAUUUUU
Canis lupus familiaris (dog) is the source of this 102-nucleotide non-coding RNA. The record is from Rfam. Lineage: Eukaryota; Metazoa; Chordata; Mammalia; Carnivora; Canidae.